GAUGAACGCUGGCGGCGUGCCUAACACAUGCAAGUCGAGCGAGGGUUUGCUCAGUAUUGAGUAUUCUAAGUCUAGAAUGUUCAAUUCUGAGCAAAACCAAGCGGCGGACGGGUGAGUAACGCGUGGGUAACCUGCCCUAUACACAUGGAUAACAUACUGAAAAGUUUACUAAUACAUGAUAAUAUAUAUUUGUGGCAUCGCAGAUAUAUCAAAGUGUUAGCGGUAUAGGAUGGACCCGCGUCUGAUUAGCUAGUUGGUGAGAUAACUGCCCACCAAGGCGACGAUCAGUAGCCGACCUGAGAGGGUGAUCGGCCACAUUGGAACUGAGACACGGUCCAAGCUCCUACGGGAGGCAGCAGUGGGGAAUAUUGCACAAUGGGCGAAAGCCUGAUGCAGCAACGCCGCGUGAACGAUGAAGGUCUUCGGAUCGUAAAGUUCUGUUGCAGGGGAAGAUAAUGACGGUACCCUGUGAGGAAGCCCGGCU
Molecule: ribosomal RNA, 484 nt
Filed under: Peptostreptococcus stomatis
Lineage: Bacteria; Bacillati; Bacillota; Clostridia; Peptostreptococcales; Peptostreptococcaceae
Description: bacterial SSU rRNA
Rfam family: Bacterial small subunit ribosomal RNA
Source: RNAcentral